CCACUGCUAUGGGGGUCCGACUAAGCCAUGCGAGCCAAGGGGGCGUCCCUUCUGGGACGCCACCGGCGGACGGCUCAGUAACACGUCGGUAACCUACCCUCGGGAGGGGGAUAACCCCGGGAAACUGGGGCUAAUCCCCCAUAGGCCUGGGGUACUGGAAGGUCCCCAGGCCGAAAGGGAGCCGUAAGGCUCCGCCCGAGGAGGGGCCGGCGGCCGAUUAGGUAGUUGGUGGGGUAACGGCCCACCAAGCCGAAGAUCGGUACGGGCCGUGAGAGCGGGAGCCCGGAGAUGGACACUGAGACACGGGUCCAGGCCCUACGGGGCGCAGCAGGCGCGAAACCUCCGCAAUGCGGGAAACCGCGACGGGGGGACCCCCAGUGCCGUGCCUCUGGCACGGCUUUUCCAGAGUGUAAAAAGCUCCGGGAAUAAGGGCUGGGCAAGGCCGGUGGCAGCCGCCGCGGUAAUACCGGCGGCCCGAGUGGUGGCCACUAUUAUUGGGCCUAAAGCGGCCGUAGCCGGGCCCGUAAGUCCCUGGCGAAAUCCCGCGGCUCAACCGUGGGGCUCGCUGGGGAUACUGCGGGCCUUGGGACCGGGAGAGGCCGGGGGUACCCCCGGGGUAGGGGUGAAAUCCUAUAAUCCCGGGGGGACCGCCAGUGGCGAAGGCGCCCGGCUGGAACGGGUCCGACGGUGAGGGCCGAAGGCCAGGGGAGCGAACCGGAUUAGAUACCCGGGUAGUCCUGGCUGUAAAGGAUGCGGGCUAGGUGUCGGGCGAGCUUCGAGCUCGCCCGGUGCCGUAGGGAAGCCGUUAAGCCCGCCGCCUGGGGAGUACGGCCGCAAGGCUGAAACUUAAAGGAAUUGGCGGGGGAGCACUACAAGGGGUGGAGCGUGCGGUUUAAUUGGAUUCAACGCCGGGAACCUCACCGGGGGCGACGGCAGGAUGAAGGCCAGGCUGAAGGUCUUGCCGGACGCGCCGAGAGGAGGUGCAUGGCCGCCGUCAGCUCGUACCGUGAGGCGUCCACUUAAGUGUGGUCACGAGCGAGACCCGCGCCCCCAGUUGCCAGUCCCUCCCGCUCGGGAGGGAGGCACUCUGGGGGGACUGCCGGCGAUAAGCCGGAGGAAGGGGCGGGCGACGGUAAGUCAGUAUGCCCCGAAACCCCCGGGCUACACGCGCGCUACAAUGGGCGGGACAAUGGGACCCGACCCCGAAAGGGGAAGGGAAUCCCCUAAACCCGCCCUCAGUUCGGAUCGCGGGCUGCAACUCGCCCGCGUGAAGCUGGAAUCCCUAGUACCCGCGCGUCAUCAUCGCGCGGCGAAUACGUCCCUGCUCCUUGCACACACCGCCCGUCACUCCACCCGAGCGGGGUCCGGGUGAGGCCCAGUCUCCUUCGGGAGGCUGGGUCGAGCCCGGGCUCCGUGAGGGGGGAG
Molecule: ribosomal RNA, 1425 nt
Filed under: Pyrococcus sp. MA2.31
Lineage: Archaea; Methanobacteriati; Methanobacteriota; Thermococci; Thermococcales; Thermococcaceae
Description: SSU rRNA
Rfam family: Archaeal small subunit ribosomal RNA
Source: RNAcentral